GGUAACAGGUCUUCGGAUGCUGACGAGUGGCGAACGGGUGAGUAAUACAUCGGAACGUGCCCGAUCGUGGGGGAUAACGGAGCGAAAGCUUUGCUAAUACCGCAUACGAUCUACGGAUGAAAGCAGGGGACCGCAAGGCCUUGCGCGGACGGAGCGGCCGAUGGCAGAUUAGGUAGUUGGUGGGAUAAAAGCUUACCAAGCCGACGAUCUGUAGCUGGUCUGAGAGGAUGACCAGCCACACUGGGACUGAGACACGGCCCAGACUCCUACGGGAGGCAGCAGUGGGGAAUUUUGGACAAUGGGCGCAAGCCUGAUCCAGCCAUGCCGCGUGCAGGACGAAGGCCUUCGGGUUGUAAACUGCUUUUGUACGGAACGAAAAGACUCUGGUUAAUACCUGGGGUCCAUGACGGUACCGUAAGAAUAAGCACCGGCUAACUACGUGCCAGCAGCCGCGGUAAUACGUAGGGUGCAAGCGUUAAUCGGAAUUACUGGGCGUAAAGCGUGCGCAGGCGGUUAUGUAAGACAGAUGUGAAAUCCCCGGGCUCAACCUGGGAACUGCAUUUGUGACUGCAUAGCUAGAGUACGGCAGAGGGGGAUGGAAUUCCGCGUGUAGCAGUGAAAUGCGUAGAUAUGCGGAGGAACACCGAUGGCGAAGGCAAUCCCCUGGGCCUGUACUGACGCUCAUGCACGAAAGCGUGGGGAGCAAACAGGGAUUAGAUACCCUGGUAGUCCACGCCCUAAACGAUGUCAACUGGUUGUUGGGAAUUCACUUUCUCAGUAACGAAG
Molecule: ribosomal RNA, 786 nt
Filed under: uncultured soil bacterium
Lineage: Bacteria
Description: bacterial SSU rRNA
Rfam family: Bacterial small subunit ribosomal RNA
Source: RNAcentral